Non-coding RNA from Podarcis lilfordi (Lilford's wall lizard), 72 nucleotides. The record is from the annotation of a GenBank genome assembly. Lineage: Eukaryota; Metazoa; Chordata; Lepidosauria; Squamata; Lacertidae.
AGAGCUAUGGCUCAGUGGUGGAGUAUCUGCUUUUCAUGCAGAACGUCGUUGGUUCAAUCCUCAGCAUCUCCA